This 463-nucleotide ribosomal RNA is filed under the name uncultured bacterium. RNAcentral's name for it is "partial 16S ribosomal RNA". It matches the Rfam family "Bacterial small subunit ribosomal RNA", at positions 28 to 507 of the family's 1533-position model. The record is from RNAcentral.
GAUGAACGCUGACAGAAUGCUUAACACAUGCAAGUCUUUGGCGAAGCUGUGCUUGCACAGCCUAGCCAAGGCGGACGGGUGAGUAACGCGUAAGGAACUUGCCCUGCAGUCAGGGAUAACAGACGGAAACGACUGAUAAGACCUGGUAAAGUCAGGCGGACUCAUGUCCAGCCUGAUGAAAAGAGAUGCUGCAGGAGAGCCUUGCGUCCUAUUAGCUUGUUGGUGGGGUAACGGCCCACCAAGGCGAUGAUAGGUAGCCGGCCUGAGAGGGUGGACGGCCACCAGGGGACUGAGAUACGGCCCUUACUCCUACGGGAGGCAGCAGUGGGGAAUAGUGGACAAUGGGGGCAACCCUGAUCCAGCAAUUCUGUGUGCACGAUGAAGGUUUUCGGAUUGUAAAGUGCUUUCAGCAGGGAAGAAAAAAAUGACGGUACCUGCAGAAGAAGCGACGGCUAAAUACGUG